GGAGGGGGCUAGCGUUGUUCGGAAUGACUGGGCGUAAAGGGCGCGUAGGCGGCUUAUCAAGUCAGGUGUGAAAGCCUUGGGCUUAACCCAAGAAUUGCGCUUGAUACUGAUAAGCUAGAGGAUGAUAGAGGAAAGCGGAAUUCCUAGUGUAGAGGUGAAAUUCGUAGAUAUUAGGAAGAACACCAGAGGCGAAGGCGGCUUUCUGGAUCAUAUCUGACGCUGAGGCGCGAAAGCGUGGGGAGCAAACAGGAUUAGAUACCCUGGUAGUCCACGCCGUAAACGAUGAGUGCUAGACGUUAGGGCGCAAGCUUUAGUGUCACAGCUAACGCGUUAAGCACUCCGCCUGGGGAGUACGGUCGCAAGAUUA
RNAcentral lists this ribosomal RNA (367 nucleotides) under uncultured bacterium. Its description in RNAcentral is "bacterial SSU rRNA". It matches the Rfam family "Bacterial small subunit ribosomal RNA", at positions 527 to 896 of the family's 1533-position model. The record is from RNAcentral.